This 813-nucleotide non-coding RNA is filed under the name Nitiditermes fulvus. Lineage: Eukaryota; Metazoa; Arthropoda; Insecta; Blattodea; Termitidae. The record is from RNAcentral.
AAUGAGUUUUAUUCUUGCUUUAUUCAUUCAAUUUAUGUUUGUUCUAUAUGUAAGUUUGUGCGUGGAUUUCUUGUAAUUCUAGAUGGGUUGUUAGAAGAAUUUUAUUCUCAUUAGUUAUUAUUGGUUGAUCAAAUAUUUUUGUAUCUAGUAAUAUAUUUUAGUUUCGGUUAAAUUUUGUGCCAGCAGCCGCGGUUAUACCUUGGAGGCGUUUGAAUGUGUUUGGCUUAUUGUAGUUAUAUUAUUUAUUUAGUUGAUAGUAUUUGAGUUGAGUUUAUUAGGUGAAAUUUUUAUUUUUUGUAUUUGUCUUUUAUAAAUUUAGAGGCUGUGAAAUUCCUUUUAUAAACUAGGAUUAGAUACCCUAUUAUUUUGGAAUGUUAAGUUUUAUGUGCUUGAGUAGUAUUAGUUAUGUUCUUGAAACUUAAAGAAUUUGGCGGUAUCUCAUUCCGUUCAGAGGAAUCUGUCUCGUUAUCGAUAGUCCGCGUUGGACCUUGCUUAGAUUGCUUGUGGUUUGUAUACCGCCGUUUAUUGAUUAUCUUUUUAGGGUUAAGUAAUUUUCUGGUUUCUCUAUUUUGAUUUAUUUCAGGUCAAGGUGCAGCUUGUUUCUAAGUGUAUGAUGGAUUACAUUGUUAUUUGUUUUUGGAUUGUUAAUUUUAAUAUUAGCAUGAAAUUGGAUUUGGUUGUAAUAAUUUGUAGAUUGUUUUUAUGAUAUUGGUUUUGGGAUAUGUACACAUCGCCCGUCGCUCUCGUUCACAAGUUAAUUAAUGAGAUAAGUCGUAACAAAGUGGUUGUACCGGAAGGUGCAGCUGGAUUGAA